Macadamia integrifolia is the source of this 98-nucleotide small nuclear RNA. The record is from RefSeq and is a predicted model, not a curated record. Lineage: Eukaryota; Viridiplantae; Streptophyta; Magnoliopsida; Proteales; Proteaceae.
GUCUUUUUGGAGACAUCCGAUAAAUGGAAUGAUAGAGACAUCAGCAUGGCCCCUGCACAAGGAUGACAAGCACAAAUCUAGAAAUGAUACAAAUUUUU